GUAAAGUUUUAUCCUGGCUUAAGAUAUUAAUUAUAUGAAUAAGUUUUAUGUAAGUGUUUAUCUAAAUGAAUUAUUUAUAAAAUAGCAGAAAUUAAUAUUAUACGAUCAAAUUGAUUUGGAUAUAAUAAUUUAUAAAAUAUUGGUUAAAAGCGUGCCAGCUGCCGCGGUUAUACGUAGAAUGAAAAUUAAUAAAUUUAAUUAGAAGUUAAAAGUAAUAAUGUUUAUUGUAUUUAUAAUAAUUUAAUAAAAGGAUGAAAUCUUUAUUAGGUGAUAAAUAUAGAAUGAAUUUUGAAGCUUUGAAAUUUUUUAAUAAACUAGGAUUAGAUACCCUAUUAUAAUUAGUGUAAAUAAGAAAAAUUAGAGUAGUAAGAGUUAUGAUCUUGAAACUUAAAGGAUUUGGCGGUGUUUUAUACUGUUCAGAGGAAUCUGUUUUAUAAUUGAUAAUACACGAUUUUUGAAUACUUAAUUUAAAGCUUGUAUAUCGCCGUCAUCAGAUUAUUUUGAUGAGAAAAAGAAAAAUUUCGUAAUGUUUAAUAUAAGAAUAUGUCAGGUCAAGGUGCAGUUUAUGAUUAAGAAAAAAUGGAUUACAAUAAAUAAUUAUUUAAACGGAAUGUUUUUUAUUAGAAAUAUGAAGGUGGAUUUGAAAGUAAAUUGAUUGAAGAAUAAUUAAUUGAAUUAGCUCUAAAGCAUGUACAUAUCGCCCGUCGCUCUCAUUAUUUUGAGAUAAGUCGUAACAAAGUAGAUGUACUGGAAAGUGUAUCUAGAAGGAAA
RNAcentral lists this non-coding RNA (771 nucleotides) under Ornebius fuscicerci. The record is from RNAcentral. Lineage: Eukaryota; Metazoa; Arthropoda; Insecta; Orthoptera; Mogoplistidae.